Aedes aegypti (yellow fever mosquito) is the source of this 1687-nucleotide long non-coding RNA. RefSeq lists it as uncharacterized. Lineage: Eukaryota; Metazoa; Arthropoda; Insecta; Diptera; Culicidae. The transcript has 3 exons. The record is from RefSeq and is a predicted model, not a curated record.
AUGUGCCGUCACUGAGUUGAUUUUUUUUAGCGUGCAUUUUUUCGCAUUGUUGUAAACAAAUUAAGUAAAUUUUUGUCUCCGAUACUUUUGCUCCGGUUUGUCGUCACCGUCGUCGCAGAAAAGUCGGAGGAAAUAGGAAAUCUUUUACGACCGGGAUUUUAUUACAACGGAACGCAGAGAACCCCACAACCUGGUAAGUGUGGGGCCGCAAGAAAAACAGAAACCCAAGGCGCGUUCGUCCUACAGCCAUGGAAUCAUCGUUCUUCUGCUGCUAAUCACAAUUACCAGACCAACAAAACAGACCUCCAGCAAUCAACCCACACGCAAAAAUUGAGCACCGCCCAAAAAGCAUUCAAGAGAUGAACCACUAGGAGUGGGUGCAAUAAUGAAUACUGUCCGAAGCUCUGAAGUUCUCUGACUUGCUGAAUAGUACCGGGCAGUUGCUGACUUACAUGGAAUCCACCCGAGAAACGAUGAGAUCUACAAUCCUGAUGGCUGCGGACUGCGUGCAAUGCCCCAUUUAUACUGCUUCCCGACUAAAAACGGGUGAACCAACGUGCGGAGUUCGAUUUUUGACCAACUUCGCCACGUCGCGAGUCACUUCGCUGUGGUGCGCACACUCAAGAUAAUCUUUCCAUUCGAUUCAUGUGCCAACCCAUAUGGAUUUUUGCAAUGGGGGUAUGCACAUACAUAGUAUGUGCGAAACCAAUGAUUCAUCGCCAAUCUCUAUCUUCAUUGAAUUCAUUAUUACUUCAUAUUUUAUCCAUAAUUGAAACACAUACUUUUCAUUGCUGGCUUCAAUGGAAUAUAUUGGUCACCUAUAUCGACUUUUUUAUUAGCAUUAAAAGCAAGAAUUUCAACUUUUCGUUCCUUGGAUCAGAAAUAUUUUUAUCGGAAUCAAACUCACACUCGAUUCCAAUGAAUUAAGAUCCAAGAAACAAUCAAUAAUGAACACUUAUAAUGAGCAAACGAAAUGAAAGUUUAUUUAUACAAACUUAUUACUCAAAGACAUGUUAUCACGCGGAAAUUACAUCUGCAUAUUACCAUUCUUGAUGGAACUUGUCUUCGAUUUUGUUUAUAGCUUGCAACAUUUGGUCCCGCUGCCAUUCGGGAACUCUCUGUUUCAUGAUUCCCGCAUCUGAACAAAUGUAAAUAAGUGUUAUAAAACCACUAAAAUAGUUUUUUCUUUUCUAAAUACCUGUAUAUUCAAUCAAGAUAUCGCCGAAAUCCUUCUAUUUGAGUACACCGAGGAGAUCACAAUCGCGGAAACAUUUUUCGGACGCCAUGUUUGUUUACACAAGGUGUUCCCGAAGGGUAUGAACUUUGCACAUACCUUGAAUGUUCUUCAAAUGAUAUAGAUGUGUUACAAAAAUAUAUGGUAUUAAUUACGAGCAUAAUGAAUAUGAGGUACACAUACAACUUAUGAGAAUGAAAAUUCAACCAAUGUAUGUGCAAAUGCACCUUUAUUUAAAGGGGCUGUUUUCUUGAGUGCAUAUAUGUCCUCCACCGUGUGCAUUAUGCGAAUUAAGCACUAUUGAGAAUCGAGUUGCGACGCGGCGAAGUUGGUCAAAAAUCAAACUUCGCACGUUGGUUAACCCAUUUUUCAAUGCGAAGCAGUAUAUAUGGGGCAUUGCAUUUGUGGCGACAAACUUAAAAGAAUUCUGCAAGUAAAGUUUUAAUACACUUA